Molecule: long non-coding RNA, 392 nt
Organism: Salvelinus namaycush (lake trout)
Lineage: Eukaryota; Metazoa; Chordata; Actinopteri; Salmoniformes; Salmonidae
Exons: 3
Source: RefSeq, a predicted model, not a curated record
CUCCUCAGAUCUCCAGGCUCAAAGCGUCCGUCCACUAGCUGAAUACUCAGUCAGACUGGUGGAUGAGACCACUUCCUGUUCUGGGACAGUGGAAGUCUUCAACAGAGGAGAGUGGUUGGGUGCAUGUUCUGGGUGGUGGAGCAUGAUGAGAGCGGCUAAGAUUGUGUGUAGACAGCUGGACUGUGGGAAUCCUGUAGCUGAAUCUAGAGGACCUCUGUUUGAAGAUGGAAGAAGAGGAGUCAGACUGGAUGGUUGCUAUGGACAUGAGUCGUCUGUUAGACAGUGUGACGUCAUAGGACGUGGUGUCUGUAAUGGUGGAUAUUAUCGUCAUGUGACCUGUUCAGAGUCUGUGCGGCUUGUGGAUGGAGCUGGUCUCUGCUCUGGGAGAGUGG